UGGGGAAUAUUGGACAAUGGGGGAAACCCUGAUCCAGCAAUGCCGUGUGUGCGAUGAAGGCCUGCGGGUUGUAAAGCACUUUCGUUGGGGAAGAAAUACUUGCAGCUAAUACCUGCAAGGGUUGACGUUACCCAAAGAAGAAGCACCGGCUAACUCUGUGCCAGCAGCCGCGGUAAUACAGAGGGUGCAAGCGUUAAUCGGAGUUACUGGGCGUAAAGGGCGCGUAGGCGGAUAUUUAAGUCGAUUGUGAAAUCCCUGGGCUUAACCUAGGAAUUGCAGUCGAUACUGGAUGUCUAGAGUAUGGGAGAGGUAAGUGGAAUUCCCGGUGUAGUGGUAAAAUACGUAGAUAUCGGGAGGAACACCAGUGCGAAGGCGACUUACUGGACCAAUACUGACGCUGAGGCGCGAAAGCGUGGGGAGCAAACAGG
This 428-nucleotide ribosomal RNA is filed under the name uncultured bacterium. RNAcentral describes it as "bacterial SSU rRNA". It matches the Rfam family "Bacterial small subunit ribosomal RNA", at positions 355 to 776 of the family's 1533-position model. The record is from RNAcentral.